UGGGGAAUAUUGGACAAUGGGGGGAACCCUGAUCCAGCAAUACCGCGUGUGUGAAGAAGGCCUGAGGGUUGUAAAGCACUUUCAGUGGGGAGGAGUGUACUUAGGUUAAGAGCUUGAGUAGAGGACGUUACCCACAGAAGAAGCACCGGCUAACUCCGUGCCAGCAGCCGCGGUAAUACGGAGGGUGCGAGCGUUAAUCGGAAUUAUUGGGCGUAAAGGGUGCGUAGGUGGUUUGAUAAGUUAUCUGUGAAAUGCCUGGGCUCAACCUGGGCAGGUCAGGUAAAACUGUGAGACUCGAGUAGGGGAGAGGGUAGUGGAAUUUCCGGUGUAGCGGUGAAAUGCGUAGAGAUCGGAAGGAACACCAGUGGCGAAGGCGGCUACCUGGCCUACUACUGACACUGAGGCACGAAAGCAUGGGGAGCAAACA
Molecule: ribosomal RNA, 427 nt
Filed under: uncultured Legionella sp.
Lineage: Bacteria; Pseudomonadati; Pseudomonadota; Gammaproteobacteria; Legionellales; Legionellaceae
Description: bacterial SSU rRNA
Rfam family: Bacterial small subunit ribosomal RNA
Source: RNAcentral